RNAcentral lists this long non-coding RNA (1382 nucleotides) under Marmota monax (woodchuck). The record is from RNAcentral. Lineage: Eukaryota; Metazoa; Chordata; Mammalia; Rodentia; Sciuridae.
UUUACUUUAGAAAACUAAAUAUAAUUAUUUCAGCCUAAUUUGACAGCUUUUCCUUUAGUUCUGUCACUCAGGUGACACCUACCCCAGGACAUCUUUGUGGCUCCCAAUCCGUUUCUUGGCUUCUGCCUGUGAUGAUCCUUAGAGUGCCCUUGAGAGCCCCAGAACCAGCCUGCCCUUCCUGCAGUGCUUAUACCCCUCCCUCUUCCCUGCCCAACUGGACCCUUGCCUGUGUCCUUGACCUCUUCUCCAAAGUCUCUCUGUCCCCAUCAUGCUUUCCUCCAACAGCUCUGUUUUCUUUCUCCCUUGAGAAUUAAGAAGUCAAGUGGGAGACUUGAAGUAGUCCUCAUAUUGAACUCUGCUUCAUCUCUUCAUCCCCUGAAUCUUUGAGCUAAAUGUUAUAUUCCUCUAAGACUCAGUUUACUUAUCUAAAAAUGAGCAUAACCACACUUGCCUCCUAGGGUGUGGCAAGGACUAAAUGAGAGGGUGUAGGUAAAGCACUGAGCAGGGGUCACCUAGGCCCCUGUACCGGGAGUGGAAUUAUAAAUCUGUCCAACAUACAGUUGCAGAGGGACUGUAGUCACUGAGACUAUGUCACUCCACUGCCUCUUCCCCACCUCCCCGCAAUUUAUAGAAGCAGCUUGAAUCUUUUCUUUCAGUGGAAACAUUUCUCCUUUUCUUAAAGGCAAAGCUUCAGGUGAAGAGGAAAUGACAGCUCCUUUUUGGGCCUGGCUGGCCCAGGAGGAGAUUUGGGGGUGAGGACCUUCAAAGGGGAGACAGCACAGAGGCCAGAAUCUGGAUGGAGGUCUGAGGCCUUAACCCUUAAAAAUGCCCACAGCCAGGCUCCAGGAUGCAAAACCAUAGCUUCUAGGGAAGGCCACAGCUGCCAUCAAAUGUCCCCUUUCAGGCAUAGUCUGAACGUCUCCCCAGGACAAAGAUGCUCCAGAAGCUUGUUAAAUGAUUUUCAGCAAUUUCAGAAAUUGCCUUAGCUGGUUGGUUAGAUUUUGCUGCAGUCUUAGAUUAGGAAAGAAAGAAAAAAGGCUGCUGGUGAUGGGAAUGUGGCUUUGUCUAGGAAGGCCAGCUGCUGUGGGCUGCUUCUAAAAACAUUGGAAAGGCAUGAAUGGACUCUGCCAGGUAUGUGAAUGGCCUCCCGGGCCCACUGAGGACACGCCUCACCCCUACAUAGCUUUGCUCACCAAUUACUGGUAUCUUCCCCUGGAACUCCUAGACUGAUCCAGAAACUUGUGUUUACUUCUUACCCUAAAAAAAAUUAAAAAGAAAGAAAGAAAGAAAAAGAAAAAACCAACCAUUGUCUCUCCCCAGUCAGCCCCUUUGGCUUAAUCUCUGAGAGCUCGGUUUUGUUUGUUUUUCUUUCACUGCACUGG